RNAcentral lists this ribosomal RNA (510 nucleotides) under uncultured Veillonellaceae bacterium. RNAcentral describes it as "bacterial SSU rRNA". It matches the Rfam family "Bacterial small subunit ribosomal RNA", at positions 48 to 507 of the family's 1533-position model. The record is from RNAcentral. Lineage: Bacteria; Bacillati; Bacillota; Negativicutes; Veillonellales; Veillonellaceae.
UUAACAUAGCAAAGUCGAACGGAGACGGAAUGUAAAAGACCUUUAGCGUUUUAUUAAAGACGUUAGUAGGCAAACGGUAGGAGUAACACGUAAGACGAACCUAGCCGACAGGAAUAGGGGCGAACGAAUUCCGAAAGGAAUAGCUAAUACCGAAUGAAGUGCAGGGAGGCAUCUCCCCUGCAUGAAGAUGGCCUCUAUAUAUAUGCUAUCACCUGUUGAUGGGUCUGCGUCUGAUUAGCUGGUAGGUGAGGGUAACGGCUCACCUAGGCGACGAUCAGUAGCCGGUCUGAGAGGAUGAACGGCCACAUUGGGACUGAGACACGGCCCAGACUCCUACGGGAGGCAGCAGUGGGGAAUCUUCCGCAAUGGGCGCAAGCCUGACGGAGCAACGCCGCGUGAGUGAAGAAGGUCUUCGGAUCGUAAAGCUCUGUUGAUGGGGACGAACGUGCCUAAUGCGAAUAGUUUUAGGCAAUGACGGUACCCAUCGAGGAAGCCACGGCUAACUACGUG